GAUGAACGCUGGCGGCGUGCCUAAUACAUGCAAGUCGAGCGAACAGACGAGGAGCUUGCUCCUUUGACGUUAGCGGCGGACGGGUGAGUAACACGUGGAUAACCUACCUAUAAGACUGGGAUAACUUCGGGAAACCGGAGCUAAUACCGGAUAACAUGUUGAACCGCAUGGUUCAACAGUGAAAGACGGUCUUGCUGUCACUUAUAGAUGGAUCCGCGCCGCAUUAGCUAGUUGGUAAGGUAACGGCUUACCAAGGCAACGAUGCGUAGCCGACCUGAGAGGGUGAGCGGCCACACUGGAACUGAGACACGGUCCAGACUCCUACGGGAGGCAGCAGUAGGGAAUCUUCCGCAAUGGGCGAAAGCCUGACGGAGCAACGCCGCGUGAGUGAAGAAGGUCUUCGGAUCGUAAAACUCUGUUAUUAGGGAAGAACAAAUGUGUAAGUAACUAUGCACGUCUUGACGGUACCUAAUCAGAAAGCCACGGCUAACUACGUG
This 497-nucleotide ribosomal RNA is filed under the name uncultured bacterium. RNAcentral describes it as "partial 16S ribosomal RNA". It matches the Rfam family "Bacterial small subunit ribosomal RNA", at positions 28 to 507 of the family's 1533-position model. The record is from RNAcentral.